Molecule: long non-coding RNA, 1145 nt
Organism: Macaca mulatta (Rhesus monkey)
Lineage: Eukaryota; Metazoa; Chordata; Mammalia; Primates; Cercopithecidae
Source: RefSeq, a predicted model, not a curated record
AUAAAUUUUUUUUAAAGUUCAUUGGGUAUUUAUUUUUAAAACUUUGUGGAAAUAAGUGAAAUAUAGUUCAUAAAGAGAGGGAACUUGAAAAUCUAGGCACUUGACUUGGAUUACGGUCUUUAGUCAUUCAUUCUUUCUUCAAUAUUGCUUUAGGAAGUAUCCACAAGCCUCAGAGCCAAUCAGAUCAUCACACCGAGGAAGAACUAGACUAGCGAUUCUUCAUCAUGAUCUUUAAAGAGCAGCCAUACUGACACCAUAAGAGUUCCAAGAUAGUGCCUGCAUCUUAUAGAUGUUGCCUGCAUCCUUUGACUAAUGGCUCUCUCUCCCCCAUCUUCAAAGUGCAUCAUCAUCACACCUUUUUCUGGCUUCGUCAUCACAUCUGUUUCUGAUUUUGAUCCUCUUGCUUCCCUCUCAUAAGGGCCCUUAUGAUAACAUUGUGACCACCUGCAUAACCAAAUAACCUUCCUUCUCAAGAUCCUUCACCACAUCUGCAAAGUCCCUUGCCACUGAAGCAAGGAACCCUCUCAAACCCUGUUACAGUCUGAAUAUGGACACAUACUGUGACAGCACCCAGGCACGUGGAAAGAGAUUCAAAGCAAAGUCCUGAAUGGCAAGAUCUCCCUUCUCCCAUUAGGUAAGGAUCCUCCUAUUUGUACUACUUUCCUUCCAGUCGUGCAUGUGGUAAAGGCUUCUGAUUCCUGAGAGAAAAUGGAAAAUUUCUCUUGCAUUAUGGUUAGUCUUUAGGAGGAGAAGCUUGCUUGUGGAAGAUGGCUUUCUUAUUUCAAUUUGGCAGUUUUCCCUAACAUAAACACAUAAGAUAAAAUCAGCCAAGCUGUCAGGGGGCUUCCUCCUGGAGGCAGGGUCCUGAAGUCCUAGCAGGUGGCUCAAUUUCUAUGCCUUACAUUAGGGAAAUGGUUCUCAGCACAACCUGCACUUUGAGAUCAUAUGAGAGACUUAAGAACAAACUAUCCUGGCUGGAUAUGGUGGCUCGCAUCUGUAAUUCCAGGGCUUUAGGAGGCCAAGGUGGGAGGAUUUCUGGAGCCCAGAAGUUUGAGACCAGCCUCAGCAGCAGAGUGAGAAGCCAUCUCUAGCAAAUUUUAAAAUUAGCUGAGCAUGGUGGUGCAUGUCUGUAGUCCUAGCUACUU